CUGGAAUCUAUUUCUAUUCUUUUUCUAUGCAUUGAAACGCCUUUCACGAUUUUGAAUGGACACAUAUAUACCUAGACCCAACAAGGUUAAAGCUAAAUUUGAUUGAUGUUGAAAGCCUAGUUUUAGGUUGGAUGGUUCCUUAGAAUUGGCUUUCACCACCAGAUCCUAAUUCUAGGAUUCAUUUGCUUUGGAUUUCUGCUGCAG
Molecule: unclassified non-coding RNA, 204 nt
Filed under: Hevea brasiliensis (rubber tree)
Lineage: Eukaryota; Viridiplantae; Streptophyta; Magnoliopsida; Malpighiales; Euphorbiaceae
Source: RNAcentral